UACGUAGGGCGCAAGCGUUGUCCGGAAUUAUUGGGCGUAAAGAGCUCGUAGGCGGUCUGUCGCGUCUGCUGUGAAAUCCCGAGGCUCAACUCGGGCUUGCAGUGGGUACGGGCAGACUAGAGUGCGGUAGGGGAGAAUGGAAUUCCUGGUGUAGCGGUGAAUGCGCAAUCAGGAGGACACCGAUGGCGAAGGCAGUUCUUGGGCCGUAACUGACGCUGAGAGCGAAAGCGUGGGA
This 235-nucleotide ribosomal RNA is filed under the name uncultured Actinomycetales bacterium. RNAcentral's name for it is "partial 16S ribosomal RNA". It matches the Rfam family "Bacterial small subunit ribosomal RNA", at positions 524 to 766 of the family's 1533-position model. Lineage: Bacteria; Bacillati; Actinomycetota; Actinomycetes; Actinomycetales. The record is from RNAcentral.